AUAAUACUCCAUAGAUUAGAGACACUGGAAUGUUCUUUAGUCGAAAGUUCUGGCGCCUUAGGAUGGAUCUGCGGUCGAUUAGGUUGUUGUUGGGGUAACGGCCCAACAAGCCUGUAAUCGAUACGGGUUGUGGGAGCAAGAGCCCGGAGAUGGAAUCUGAGACACGAUUCCAGGCCCUACGGGGCGCAGCAGGCGCGAAAACUUUACAAUGCAGGAAACUGUGAUAAGGGAACUCCGAGUGCCCGUAUACGCGGGCUGUCCGGGUGUUUAAAAAUCAUCUGAAGAAAGGGCCGGGCAAGACCGGUGCCAGCCGCCGCGGUAAUACCGGCGGCUCGAGUGGUGGCCACUAUUAUUGGGCUUAAAGCGUCCGUAGCUGGACCGAUAAGUCUCUUGGGAAAUCCGCCGGCUCAACCGGCGGGCGUCUAAGGGAUACUGUUAGUCUAGGGACCGGGAGAGGUGAGAGGUACUCCGGGGGUAGGAGUGAAAUCCUGUAAUCCCCGGGGGACCACCGAUGGCGAAGGCAUCUCACCAAAACGGCUCCGACAGUGAGGGACGAAAGCUGGGGGAGCGAACCGGAUUAAAUACCCGGGUAGUCCCAGCCGUAAACUAUGCGCGUUAGGUGU
Molecule: ribosomal RNA, 623 nt
Filed under: uncultured archaeon
Lineage: Archaea
Description: bacterial SSU rRNA
Rfam family: Archaeal small subunit ribosomal RNA
Source: RNAcentral